CAAUAGCGUAUAUUAAAGUUGUUGCAGUUAAAAAGCUCGUAGUUGGAUUUCUGAUCGAGACAUCAGGUCGGGUCCGAGAGGAUCAUGUACUUUGAUUUUGUUUUGAUCAUCCUUGGGGAGGGCAUUUCUGGCAUUCAGUUGUCGGGAUUGGGAUCCUCAUCGUUUACUGUGAAAAAAUUAGAGUGUUCAAAGCAGGCCUCGGCCUCUGAAUACAUUAGCAUGGAAUAAUAAGAUAGGACUUUGGUGGUCUAUUUUGUUGGUUUGCACGCCAAAGUAAUGAUUAAUAGGGAUAGUUGGGGGUAUUCGUAUUCAAUUGUCAGAGGUGAAAUUCUUGGAUUUAUGGAAGACGAACUACUGCGAAAGCAUUUACCAAGGAUGUUUUCAUUAA
Molecule: ribosomal RNA, 388 nt
Filed under: uncultured eukaryote
Lineage: Eukaryota
Description: partial 18S ribosomal RNA
Rfam family: Eukaryotic small subunit ribosomal RNA
Source: RNAcentral